UACGUAGGGUGCAAGCGUUGUCCGGAAUUAUUGGGCGUAAAGAGUUCGUAGGCGGUCUGUCGCGUCGGAUGUGAAAAUCCAGGGCUCAACCCUGGACCUGCAUUCGAUACGGGCAGACUAGAGUUCGGCAGGGGAGACUGGAAUUCCUGGUGUAGCGGUGAAAUGCGCAGAUAUCAGGAGGAACACCGGUGGCGAAGGCGGGUCUCUGGGCCGAUACUGACGCUGAGGAGCGAAAGCGUGGGGAGCGAACAGG
RNAcentral lists this ribosomal RNA (253 nucleotides) under uncultured bacterium. Its description in RNAcentral is "partial 16S ribosomal RNA". It matches the Rfam family "Bacterial small subunit ribosomal RNA", at positions 524 to 776 of the family's 1533-position model. The record is from RNAcentral.